Arvicanthis niloticus (Nile rat) is the source of this 131-nucleotide small nucleolar RNA. RefSeq annotates it as small nucleolar RNA SNORA17. Lineage: Eukaryota; Metazoa; Chordata; Mammalia; Rodentia; Muridae. The record is from RefSeq and is a predicted model, not a curated record.
AUUGGCCCUAGAGGCAUUGCAGAUGUGACUGUUGUGUCACAUUGCAUCAGUAGGUAGCAGAGAGGAGAGAGGCUGUGUCUAUGUGCAGUGUUCUGACCUGUGAACAGCUGAAUGAUUAGUAACCUAACAUU